Molecule: long non-coding RNA, 665 nt
Filed under: Salmo salar (Atlantic salmon)
Lineage: Eukaryota; Metazoa; Chordata; Actinopteri; Salmoniformes; Salmonidae
Description: lncRNA (ENSSSAG00000102255.1, ENSSSAG00020019181.1, ENSSSAG00075061886.1)
Source: RNAcentral
GGGAAGAGGCCGAGGAGCACGAAGACACCAUGCUGUCCCGGAUGAAAUUCGGGCCACAAUUAUAGACCAUGUCAUCAACCAUGGCCUCACAAUGGCGGAGGCAGGUCGCUGAGUGCAGCCUAAUGUGCCUCGCCCAACAGUCUCCACCAUCAUCCAAACCUUUCGAAGGGAAAACAGGCCUACAGUAAUAUCUUACCUCAAUGGGAUGUUAUGAUAAUAAAUAUGACAAGAAAAACAUCGGAGAAAAAAAGUACAUUCAUCUCUAGGAGACAGAACAAGUCUCCUUCCUGAGCGGUAUGACAGCUUCAGUACCCAGCUUCAGUACCCACUUUACCUGAUUUGUGUAUCCAGGUAAUCCAGAGAAUAAUGGCAUUGGAAGGAAACGAGACCCAUCACAUCCUCGUGUUUGUGGAUGAAGCUGGCUUCAACCUGGCCAAGGGCCGAAGACGUGGCCAUAAUAUUAUUGGCCACCGGGCCACGGCGGAUGUCCCAGGCCAGCGAGGGGGCAAUAUAACUAUGUGUGCUGCCAUAUCUGAGAAUGGUGUGGCCACUCACAUCUCCAGUCUUGGCCCAUACAAUACACAGAAGCUCCUCAUCUUCUUGGACCGCCUUCAUUUUGAUUUGAUACCUGAAAAUGAGAGCGGUCUUGUAGGGCCUCACCUACC